UCUUACAGCACGUACUGUGUUUUUGAGGGAGGGACUCUGGUUUCGUCCACUGAACCCAAUUCCUUUGUGGCCCAUCCACAAAUGGUGUCGUGCAUGAAUCAGUAGUUCCUCUGUCUUUCUUGCCGAGGAUGAGGAUGGAUGAUGCACCACAACUUGUUUGUUGACGCCCCUGUUGGUGCCGGUUUCAGCUGCUUCCAGUUUGGGGCUGUUACCAAAACAGCUGCCCCACCGUCAGCGCUGGGAGGGGUCCCCGAGGACGGAGCUCAAGCAGAGAGAUCCUCGUUGUGGUGCCAGCCAUGUGCUCAGGGCCCCUGCAGGGCCCCCUUCAUUCUUGCCGUUUCCUGUCCCCCUUGUCACUGAGGACUGAACUCUGAUCUUUCUCUUUGCCCCAAAAAAUUCCUUUCUAUGAGGGCCUGGUGAGUCACACCUACAAAUGAUAAAAUCUCAGUAAACAGGUUUUUAUGAUGUGGUUUUACUUCCAGACCUGAUUCCGAUAGAGCAGCACAUGAAGGAUAGAAGACUCUUAUCUUAACUGAAGCGUUCCUUUCCUCUGAUUCCUGGCCUUUGGACAAUGCCUAACUCUUUCAGCCGAUUGUCAACUCAAGAAUCCCUAAACCCACCUAUGACCUGUUAAGCCCCUGCUUGGAGAUGUCCCACCUUUUCAGGCCAAAUCAAUGUGCGCCUUUCACGUACUGAUUUAUGACUUUACCUGUAAUCUCCUCCCGGAAAUGCGUAAAACCAACCUGUGACCCAGCCACGGCGAGUCCACUUGAUCAAGGCUUCUUGGGCGUAGCCCCGGGCCGCGGUCCUCAGAUUUGGCUCAGAAUAAACCUCCUUAAAUUAUUUUACGGAGUUAGUCUUCUUUUCCGUGGACAUCACCAAUCUCAGAGGCAGUACGUGAAGACCAAGGACAUUCUAUAGGACAUCAGGUGGCAGGAUGGGGCAGCAGGAAACACCAAAACUCAGAAAAGAGCACAGAGGAUGGAACAAAAGCAGAAGUGACACUGGAGAUGCUCACUGCAAACUAGGAAGCAACCUCCGAGGUCGGUCCUAUUGACAGUCACCCAGUGAUCACGUCGUGAGGAAGCCACGAAGCUCACGCCCGCCGUGUGCGUCUGCAGCCUCACGUCCACCUCCCGGGAGUGUGACCCCUGACCCCACCCAGACACAGCCGCGGUCUCAGCCUCCCCGCACGCAGGAAUCAGAGGUGCCAGACCAGAGAAGAUUCAGGAAACAAAAAGCGCAAGCCCGACACUAAUGCUAAAUUUGCUUUUAAAAAGGCAAAACUCCAUGACCAUUUUAAGAUGCCGAUGAUUCGGAAAAUAAGUAGAUUUUUAAAAUCCCUGUAAUAUCCCUGUUUUGAGCAUCUGGCUUUUUAAUCCUGCCUGUCCCAGGGACCUGCUGUUUUGCAGCCUAAUAAUCCCAUAGUCACAACUUAUGCUUAGAGUUUGUAGCUGCACCGCCUUAAAUUCUAGUGCCCGGCCAUGGAAAUUCAUCACACUGAACCCUCCAUUCCGGUCCUUCAGGGCUCUGAGAACGGGACAUCUGGAGGAGGCCAGAUGUUAGCCCUUCAGGGAAGCGUAGUCCCGAAACCCCCGCUGUGGGCCCAGAGCUAACCACAUCCUCCUGUUCUUGGCAGUGCCAGCGACUGAUGCAAUUAAUAUUGCAGAGGUGAGACGCAGCAGAGACGUCCCCGUGCCUGACUCUGAGGGUGGGUACGCGGCGAGACAAAUGCCCCGUCUCCUGCCAGGAAACCAUCUGAGAAUUGCUUCAGUGUUGCCUGGCAUUGCACAGACGUCCCAGAAAGAACAUUUCUAUUAUCUGAGUUUCAAGUAAAUCCAAGAUGUUCCCAUUAGCAACGUUUCCUCCUCUGGUACCGGGAAUACUCCAGAAGUCAGUGCAGUGUGACAAUGCACAUGUGUCUCUCCCGGUAGAUUUAAUCUCCCGCCUUACUCCCCUUUGUGUCUCCAGGACAAAAAUGUCGCCCUAUUUGUUCAAUGUUAAUAAAUUAUGAAUAAACAGUAAAUGAAUAACAUCCACAAGUGACUCAUAAAGGGAUGCAGAGCAUGUUUAUUUGGCACAGUCAAAGCAGGGAGAUACUUUAGUUGGUGGAAUAUUUUGGCCAAUACAGUGUCCUAUACACGGGUCAUCGACUGCCAAAGGCUGAGGACCCGGUGCCCUGGGCAUGAAAACUCAAGUGAGACGAAAGUGAAGAUUUAGAGAGAUCCAGCAGAGGCACCAGGACCAGUGCAUGAAUUCACACUUGAUGGAAGGAGAGAAGCCAACGCCGGCUGCAUUCUGAGAAAGACACAAGCUGCGUCUCCCCUACGAAGGAGUCAGGCUGCACGGGGCUGGCAGUCUCCCUGCAAGGCUGAAAUUCUGAUCUUCAACAUCCCAUUAAAUAUUGGUAUCUCCUA
Molecule: long non-coding RNA, 2417 nt
Organism: Lemur catta (Ring-tailed lemur)
Lineage: Eukaryota; Metazoa; Chordata; Mammalia; Primates; Lemuridae
Exons: 2
Source: RefSeq, a predicted model, not a curated record